RNAcentral lists this ribosomal RNA (37 nucleotides) under Epicoccum sp. RNAcentral describes it as "partial 28S ribosomal RNA". The record is from RNAcentral. Lineage: Eukaryota; Fungi; Ascomycota; Dothideomycetes; Pleosporales; Didymellaceae.
CGGAUCAGGUAGGGAUACCCGCUGAACUUAAGCAUAU